This 260-nucleotide ribosomal RNA is filed under the name uncultured Glomus. RNAcentral describes it as "partial 18S ribosomal RNA". It matches the Rfam family "Eukaryotic small subunit ribosomal RNA", at positions 624 to 886 of the family's 1831-position model. The record is from RNAcentral. Lineage: Eukaryota; Fungi; Glomeromycota; Glomeromycetes; Glomerales; Glomeraceae.
AAGCUCGUAGUUGAAUUUCGGGGUUAGUAGGUUGGUCAUGCCUCUGGUAUGUACUGGUCUCACUGAUUCCUCCUCCCUUAUGAACCGUAAUGCCAUUAAUUUGGUGUUGCGGGGAAUUUGGACUGUUACUUUGAAAAAAUUAGAGUGUUUAAAGCAAGCUAACGCUUGAAUACAUUAGCAUGGAAUAAUGAAAUAGGACGUUCGAUCUUAUUUUAGUUUGGUUUCUAGGAUUGACGUAAUGAUUAAUAGGGAUAGUUGGG